Molecule: ribosomal RNA, 468 nt
Filed under: uncultured bacterium
Lineage: Bacteria
Description: partial 16S ribosomal RNA
Rfam family: Bacterial small subunit ribosomal RNA
Source: RNAcentral
GACGAACGCUGGCGGCGUGCUUAACACAUGCAAGUCGAACGGAAAGGCCCUGCUUUUGUGGGGUGCUCGAGUGGCGAACGGGUGAGUAACACGUGAGUAACCUGCCCUUGACUUUGGGAUAACUUCAGGAAACUGGGGAUAAUACCGGAUAGGAGCUCCUGCUGCAGGGUGGGGGUUGGAAAGUUUCGGCGGUUGGGGAUGGACUCGCGGCUUAUCAGCUUGUUGGUGGGGUAGUGGCUUACCAAGGCGUUGACGGGUAGCCGGCCUGAGAGGGUGACCGGCCACAUUGGGACUGAGAUACGGCCCAGACUCCUACGGGAGGCAGCAGUGGGGAAUAUUGCACAAUGGGCGGAAGCCUGAUGCAGCGACGCCGCGUGCGGGAUGACGGCCUUCGGGUUGUAAACCGCUUUCGCCUGUGACGAAGCGUGAGUGACGGUAAUGGGUAAGGAAGCACCGGCUAACUACGUG